Molecule: transfer RNA, 71 nt
Filed under: Diaphorina citri (Asian citrus psyllid)
Lineage: Eukaryota; Metazoa; Arthropoda; Insecta; Hemiptera; Psyllidae
Rfam family: tRNA
About the family: Transfer RNA (tRNA) molecules are approximately 80 nucleotides in length. Their secondary structure includes four short double-helical elements and three loops (D, anti-codon, and T loops).
Source: Rfam by way of RNAcentral
GCCUCGGUGGUGUAGUGGUCAAGCGCUCGCCUGGUAAUCAGGAGGGCGUGGGUUCGAUCCCAGCCGAGGUA